UACAGAGACUGCGAGCGUUAUUCGGAUUCACUGGGCGUAAAGGGUGCGCAGGCGGCCGUGUGUGUGAGGCGUGAAAGCCCGGGGCUCAACCCCGGGUCGGCCGUGGCAACUGUCGAGCUGGAGCACUGUAGAGGCAGGUGGAAUUCCGGGUGUAGCGGUGGAAUGCGUAGAGAUCCGGAAGAACACCGGUGGCGAAGGCGGCCUGCUGGGCAGUGGCUGACGCUGAGGCGCGACAGCGUGGGGAGCAAACAGG
RNAcentral lists this ribosomal RNA (253 nucleotides) under uncultured bacterium. Its description in RNAcentral is "partial 16S ribosomal RNA". It matches the Rfam family "Bacterial small subunit ribosomal RNA", at positions 524 to 776 of the family's 1533-position model. The record is from RNAcentral.